Non-coding RNA from Triticum aestivum (bread wheat), 134 nucleotides. NCBI's taxonomy places the organism in Eukaryota, Viridiplantae, Streptophyta, Magnoliopsida, Poales, Poaceae. The record is from Rfam.
UAUAUACUCCCUCCGUCCGGAAAUACUUGUCAUCAAAAUGGAUAAAAGGGAUGUAUCUAGAUGUAUUUUAGUUUUAGAUACAUCCCUUUUUGUCCAUUUUGAUGACAAGUAUUUUCGGAUGGAGGGAGUAUAAU